UGGGGAAUAUUGGACAAUGGGCGCAAGCCUGAUCCAGCCAUGCCGCGUGAGUGAUGAAGGCCCUAGGGUUGUAAAGCUCUUUCCCCGGUGAAGAUAAUGACGGUAACCGGAGAAGAAGCCCCGGCUAACUUCGUGCCAGCAGCCGCGGUAAUACGAAGGGGGCUAGCGUUGUUCGGAAUUACUGGGCGUAAAGCGCACGUAGGCGGAUCGAUCAGUUAGGGGUGAAAUCCCGGGGCUCAACCCCGGAACUGCCUCUAAUACUGUCGAUCUGGAGUUCGAGAGAGGUGAGUGGAAUUCCGAGUGUAGAGGUGAAAUUCGUAGAUAUUCGGAGGAACACCAGUGGCGAAGGCGGCUCACUGGCUCGAUACUGACGCUGAGGUGCGAAAGCGUGGGGAGCAAACA
This 402-nucleotide ribosomal RNA is filed under the name uncultured bacterium. Its description in RNAcentral is "bacterial SSU rRNA". It matches the Rfam family "Bacterial small subunit ribosomal RNA", at positions 355 to 774 of the family's 1533-position model. The record is from RNAcentral.